RNAcentral lists this small RNA (282 nucleotides) under Vigna angularis var. angularis. RNAcentral describes it as "Non-protein coding transcript". Lineage: Eukaryota; Viridiplantae; Streptophyta; Magnoliopsida; Fabales; Fabaceae. The record is from RNAcentral.
CUUCAGUCACCUCCCCUCUAGAUCGUCUCUUCUCUGCAGCUGUAAAUCAUUCUUCUCUGGAGCCCUAAAUUUGACGUAGUUGGAUUUUGACGAGGCAUCGAUUGAGGCUGCUGUGUUGCGGUUUAAGCUGAGACAUAGAACUUGGUGUUGCGAAGGCCGAAGGAACCACAAAAAGGUGUUUUUAAUUUCCUGUCUUGCUCGGUUUUGUAUGCAAUGUAGUUCGGUUUUUAAUUUCCCUCCAUGAAUGAGUUUUCUUCAAAGUAAUUCCAGCAUGGUAAUGGG